CUCACAGUGAGUGAGAAGUCUUCUUCUGAAAGUUCAAUCUGAGGAAUUUAACGAAAGCUUCCAAAAAGUGAAAAGCCCGUGUGCACUACCAAUCCGGUUUACGGAGAUUUAAAAGGCUUUUCCCAGGGGGAGGAGAGAGGAGGAAAAGAGGCUGGCACCAGGCAGGGAUGGGGAGUGAUUGUCACUGAGGAUCAUCGAGGAACAUCUUUCCUCUGCUCACGGCACCUAUGAAGGCCCACAGCUCACCUGCAGUCCAGUCCGAAUGGAUGGAGGUGGAUUGGGUCUGAAACAACAACUCAGAAUCUUCAGUCUGUGUGGCGGGCCGUACAUUUGGGACACACUAAAAAAUGGUACACCACCAUUGGUUUGAGAAUCCCCACCUUCUUGAAGUCGCCAUUUUUGUUUGAUUGCACUUAUUUCAUUCAGCUGCGACUUGGAGCCACCUGCUGACUACUUCCUACAUGGUGAAGUGGAACACUCUUUUUACAAGGAGUUCAGUUUCAGGCCUGGGGGUCACAGCCUCUUCGUUACAAGUCUUCAGAGAGGAGGCGGGGCGGGGAACCUGUCGCCGAGAAUAAAAGGCCAACCAACUGAAGAGGUGCAGGCUCAUUGGUACGGCCGUGUGCUGGACUAACAGUUGGCUGGCCGACCGUCUCCAGGAGAUCCCAGGUGGCGAAUAUCCUCCCGCUGCAGCCGGCGCGCAAUCCCACCUAGUGGAGCUGGGAAAGCUGUUGAGGAACCACAGCUUUCAGGCGGGACUUUUUUCUGGGGGGUCCGUCACCCAAUUUACAGCAGAACGAGUCUGUCCAGCUCAGUAGUGGGAAGUCACUAGGUACAAAUACAUCAUUAUUGCACUGGAGUGGAUUUUUCAGCUAUGUGUACUUUAGUUGAGUAUUUUCUUUUUUUAAAGUGACGUUUUACUUUUGCUCCCUACAUUUGAAAACAUCUCUACUUUCUACUCCUUACUUUGUCAAAAUAGAGUGGUUACUUCUUCCAAGCCAUUGUAGCGCCAUGAUGUCUUAUCCCUUGGUGAGACUACAUCUUGGUUGGAGUGGUUCUCAAACUGUAAGUUGUGUAAGUACUGCCUCAAAAAAUAUUUUGUUCUCUAAGUACCACCAUAAGGACCAACAUUAAAAAUAUAGCAGAGUGGUAGGCAUCAAAAAACAAGGUUUUAUAAAUUUUUAAAAGUGCAUUAUCCAGUUUUAACAUUAGCACUGUGCUUAAAUAUAGGAAAAUAAAACAAUACUAUGUAAAUGUUUCAAUUAAAAUCAUAUUGCACAUAAAAGCAAAAAACUGUACUUUCAAUACACUAAAACAAAGACUAACUGCAACUGUACAUUAUAGUUAAAUACAGCUGAACUGCACUUCAAAAUGUACUGUGCCUGAAAAGAAAAUACUGCACAUGCAAAGUAAAUUGAGUGUUUCCAUGUCACCUUUUUUUUUUUUUAAAUUGAUGAAUACUCUAAUUAAAAAUGAACUAUUUCUUUAACUGCUGCAACAA
Long non-coding RNA from Phyllopteryx taeniolatus (common seadragon), 1501 nucleotides. RefSeq lists it as uncharacterized. The transcript is spliced from 4 exons. The record is from RefSeq and is a predicted model, not a curated record. NCBI's taxonomy places the organism in Eukaryota, Metazoa, Chordata, Actinopteri, Syngnathiformes, Syngnathidae.